UAGCUCAGUGGUUACAGCGCCUGCCUGGCAAGCAUGAGAUCCUGAGUUCAAUUCCCAG
RNAcentral lists this transfer RNA (58 nucleotides) under Cavia porcellus (domestic guinea pig). It matches the Rfam family "tRNA", at positions 8 to 63 of the family's 71-position model. Rfam says of the family: Transfer RNA (tRNA) molecules are approximately 80 nucleotides in length. Their secondary structure includes four short double-helical elements and three loops (D, anti-codon, and T loops). Lineage: Eukaryota; Metazoa; Chordata; Mammalia; Rodentia; Caviidae. The record is from Rfam by way of RNAcentral.